This is a non-coding RNA of Triticum aestivum (bread wheat), 115 nucleotides long. Lineage: Eukaryota; Viridiplantae; Streptophyta; Magnoliopsida; Poales; Poaceae. The record is from Rfam.
UUGCUACUCCCUCCAAUCCAUAUUACUUGUCGCUCAAAUGGAUGUAUUUAGCACUGAAAUACGUCUAGAUACAUCCGUUUGAGUGACAAGUAAUAUGGAUCGGAGGGAGUAAUUG